AGUUCUGGUGACUCUCGCGGACUUCAAAUCCGUUGGUGGGUGAGAUCCGCCCACGGUGGGUUCGAUUCCCACAUGCCCC
Molecule: transfer RNA, 79 nt
Filed under: marine sediment metagenome
Also listed under: 1 other name
Description: Selenocysteine transfer RNA
Rfam family: Selenocysteine transfer RNA
Source: RNAcentral